AAGGUCUCUCUCCUUUCAGGGUUCAACCUCCAACCUUAUUUCUGCUUCCUUCAUGUUGGAAUUCACACUGUGAGAAUUGUUGUCAUCCUUUCUCUACGACUCCAAGAGAAACUUUAUACUGGAGGAAGAAUAUUCUACCACUUUGGGAUGCUUCCAAAGAAAUGGGAUACCAAAGGAGUGAACUUCAGGUCAUUGGAAGUGGCCAAGCUGGAGGGCGACCUAUGGAGACAUGACCUUCAGUUCUUCCUGAGAUCGAUAAAGCUUAAAAGAAAAGAAAAAGCCAACUCAGCUUGUGCGUGGAUCCUGGACCUUGCUCUAAUACAGACCCCGCUCCUGGAGUGUAAGCCAUGCUUGACGGCUCAGCUUUCUUGUCACUAAUGAGCCAUCACCGUGAGAACAUGCCGGGCUCACCUGAAACAAGGGUAAGAGAGAAAUGGAAAGCAGAGUUGUCCCAUACGAGACCAUUCUAGACCAGACAACCCUGAGCAGCCCACUGGUUGCCCACAGAAGAAUGAGAGAGCCCAGUUGAGAUCACCCCAGCCCUGUUCUGGAUCCAGAGACCACGAGAAAUAAUCAGUCAUUUUUGGUUUAAGUCACUAUGUCUUGGAUGGUUUGUUGUACAUCAGUAAUGAACUGAUACGAGACUUG
This 648-nucleotide long non-coding RNA is filed under the name Homo sapiens (human). Its description in RNAcentral is "novel transcript". Lineage: Eukaryota; Metazoa; Chordata; Mammalia; Primates; Hominidae. The record is from RNAcentral.